RNAcentral lists this ribosomal RNA (807 nucleotides) under uncultured bacterium. RNAcentral describes it as "bacterial SSU rRNA". It matches the Rfam family "Bacterial small subunit ribosomal RNA", at positions 103 to 921 of the family's 1533-position model. The record is from RNAcentral.
CGGGUGAGUAACACGUGAGUAACCUGCCCCCCUGUUUGGGAUAAGCCUGGGAAACUGGGUCUAAUACCGAAUACUCCUUAAUUAACUCAUGUUGGUUUUGGGAAAGAUUUAUUGCUGGGGGAUGGACUCGCGGCCUAUCAGCUUGAUGGUGGGGUAAUGGCCUACCAUGGCUUUGACGGGUAGCCGGCCUGAGAGGGCGACCGGCCACACUGGGACUGAGACACGGCCCAGACUCCUACGGGAGGCAGCAGUGGGGAAUAUUGCACAAUGGGGGAAACCCUGAUGCAGCGACGCCGCGUGCAGGAUGAAGGCCUUCGGGUUGUAAACUGCUUUCAGCAAGGAAGAAGCGAAAGUGACGGUACUUGCAGAAGAAGCGCCGGCUAACUACGUGCCAGCAGCCGCGGUAAUACGUAGGGCGCAAGCGUUGUCCGGAAUUAUUGGGCGUAAAGAGCUCGUAGGCGGUCUGUCGCGUCUGGCGUGAAAACACAAGGCUCAACUUUGUGCUUGCGUCGGGUACGGGCGGACUUGAAUGUUGUAGGGGAGACUGGAAUUCCUGGUGUAGCGGUGGAAUGCGCAGAUAUCAGGAGGAACACCAAUGGCGAAGGCAGGUCUCUGGGCAAUUAUUGACGCUGAGGAGCGAAAGCAUGGGGAGCGAACAGGAUUAGAUACCCUGGUAGUCCAUGCCGUAAACGUUGGGCACUAGUUGUGGGGACCAUUCCACGGUUUCCGUGACGCAGCUAACGCAUUAAGUGCCCCGCCUGGGGAGUACGGUCGCAAGACUAAAACUCAAAGGAAUUGACGGAAUCA